UAGACAAGAAAAGCUCUAAUAGGAAACUGUAGCUUGGGGGGGGGUUCUGGGAGGAAAAGGACACACACACACACACACACACACACACACACACACACACACACGAUGCACAGCCCACCUGGCACAUAUUUCUUUAGCUUUAUUCUUUCAGCUCACUGUAGAAUAAAGGAAAAAGGAAGAAGCAUAUUCAGAGGUGUGUGUGUGUGUGUGUGUGUGUGUGUGUGUGUGUGUGUGUGUGUGUGUGGUGCACCUCAAUGCCAGCCUAUGAACCAAUGGCAAAUGGGUGACAAUCUCAAAAUUGCAAGCUUGUAACUAUAGCAGUGUCCAGAAUGCCUGUUCUCUGCCUUACGGGUUCAUACUUUAUUUUAGUGAUCCUCUUGUCUUUGGUCAGUCAAUUAUAUCGGUACAUGGAACAUCACAGUCUGAUACGACUUUUAUGAAUAAGAAGGACAUCUUUGACAAAACGGCUUUUAAGUAGCACUAGGAACACCUGUCAUUUGAAGGAUCUGAGGUUUACAGAAGUCCCCAUCUGUAGUUACAUGUGAUGUGGCAGCCACAAGCUCAGCUCACUGAGAGAGAGGAUAGCUUUUGUCACUUCCCUUGAACCUGACUGGUCAGGACUUCCAUUUGCCAGGUGGGGAACUUGCUCUGGGUCAGUUCAGGAUUUCCCCAUCUCCCAUAUAAUGCAGGAGUGAUGACAUCAGACAGGACUGGGUCCCGGCUGAUAGCCAAUAUUCAUGACGAUUCAGAGUUCUCCAGCAUUCUAAGCUCAGGACACCCAGGCAGCCAUCAGCUCAAGGGCCUUGUAGUAAUGACCUGGGCUGAACAGAGUAUCUCACAGCCACUUACUUUUCUGGGCAGCUCUCACACAUGCAUGAUCCACGCAGGAGAAGAAAGACCCACACAUGCAUUCCCACUUUGGAACAACACUUUAGGACCACUGUGGUGACGUCUGAGGCCUCCCUGUGGUCCACAGAGGCCUUCCUUGAUACCACUCCAUAGCUCAAGUCUGUCUCCUACCCAGCUCUACUCUAGGAUUGGAUGUUUUAACCAGAGGUUGUGUCCUGGCCCUGUGCAGAGGUGGAAGUCCUUCUACCACACCCCCUGUGAACUUGCUGGGUGUUAAUGAACAGACAGAUGCAGUUAGUUCAGAAUGGACACUCCGGAGACACACUGUGCAUUACUAAGCCAAUUCUGAUGUCAUUAGAGGUAGCAUUUAUGGACCAGAUAUCUCUGCCUCUGUACCUCAACUUUCUCAUCUGUAAAAAAGUGGUGAUAAUACUAUUCCCAUCACACCAAAAAGGGGAGAAAAAAGGAAAGAGAUGAGAGCAUGCAUUAAACAGUCUAGCAUGAACGUUCUGAGUGAAUGCUGGUUGUUCUAUAACGUACACAAGCCUUUGUGCUUUCUACGGGGUGUCCUGACCAGUUUUAACAUGACACAACUUAGAGUCGUCCAAGAGAAGAGCUUCAAUGGAGGAGUUGCCUAGAUCAGACAGGUUGGUGGGGAAUAUGUUGACUAUUACUUGAUGUAAGAAAGCCCAGCCCAUGGUGGGUGGUACCCUCCUUAGGAAGAUGGUCAGGGUUAGGGUCAGAGUACAUGACAGGUGCCCACAAGCCAACCAGCAGGCAGCACUCCCUACAGCCCCUGAUGCACUUCGUGGAUGGGAAGGGAUUUAAUGCUGUGUGGAAUGGCCCGUAGACCUGCCUUCGAGUUCCUGCCUUGAUGCCUUCAGCGAUGCACUGUGACUUGGAGUUGUAAGUAAACCUGAAUUGCUUAUGGUCGGGCAGUUUUAUCACAGCAACAAAAAUGAAAUGUGAACAGAGGGCGAAACUUGAGAAAUUCAACUGCCCUGAAAAGACCUCACGUGUCCCCUCCGUCUUUGCUUCUGAGACAAUGAAAUUGAAACAGCCUCAGAGACCAUGUAAAAGGAAGAUCAAGCAAGGGGCAAAAACAUUAUCCUGUUAUCCAGACCGAGAUCUUUUUGCAUUGAGAUCUGCCAAGUGCUUCUAGUCAAACUUCAAGCUCUGAAGCUUUCACUUAGGCUACGCCAAAUCGGGAGAAAUAGGAAGGUGGGAGAAAGGACUGCUCUGGACGAAUCAAAACAACACUCCACAGGAAGCAAGAACACCGGGAAACCAGACAAAGUCCACCGAUUUAUUAAAAGAACCUCUUGUUUCCACAACAUUCUAUGGAGUUAAGUCCAGGCUGAAAAGGAAGGCCCAUCCUCCCAGUAUGGCACAAAUGUGAACAAGCAGCCUCAAGGUCCUGAUGCCGCAGCUCCGAGCUUCCAAGAUGUCUGCCGUGAUUCCUCGGCCAUGACGAGUUGCAGCCUCCGAAAGCCUGAACUGAACCACAGUCUUCCUCUUUAGCGUUCCUUCGGCCGGGUAUUUGCUAUGGCAACCAGAGAAGUUUCCAGAACCUCAUGAGCCUUCCAACCUCGAAGUUCCCUGUAAGCAUAGAGGAGUAUUAACAACGCUUUAAAACCCGGCACGGAUUCCUGGAUGUGGAACACCAAGAGAGAACUCUAAACUGUGGACACAGGGUGACGUGGUGCAUGGACUCAGGGUCAGCGGUUGGAACAAGUGUGCCAUUCUGUUGGGGUAUGUCAAAACCAGGGUAGCUACGCAUGAAGGAACACCAGAGUUCAGGAGCUUCGUUCAACCUUCCACUCAGUUUUGUUGUGAACUCCAAUCUACUCUUAAAAAUUAAGUCAUUUUCUCUUUAAACUAAAAGGCAGUAGAUUUCAGUCAAGAAUGGGAUAGUGGCUGCAGAAGGCCAGGUGGGAGCUGUGAAACUGAUCUGACUGGAGUCCCUGUGGGCACUAACAGAAGGUGGUACUGGGUGUGCCUUCAUGGUGCCUCCGUGUGUGCCUCCUUCGUCCAUUAAUUGCUUGGGGAAAACUGCAAAAGCCUCCGAAUGUUUUCUACUGACGUCAGAGCUUCCCCCUGGAGAAAUAAAACCAUUGCACAUUGCCAUUGAAGGUGGACUAUGAACUUUGCUGAAGCCCAGGAAACAACUUCCUCCUGCAUCACAUAUGUUCACUCAGUCAUUCCUUCCCCCGAUGGAAGGGUACUUUCUGUGCAUGUGUACGUUAUAGGCUUUCCCAUGGAUGUUUCUACUAUGGUCUUUGAGGCCAAGCAGCAAGGGUAAAUUGGGUGAAGAGUAAAGACUUCCUGUUAAAUACUUCUUCAGGUACCCAUUUUCCUUGAGUAGGCUGAUACUCAUUUCUACAGCCCCCGACCACACGGAGGCCCUGCUCACUGCCCAAGGCAGAGCAACGUUAAAGCAGUUCUACAGAAUGAGGUUUAUCGAACUUCUCCAGAGGAAAUGUAAACUCUGAACGCAACGGUGCCAAUCAAAAGAGUGCACGCCCUGGACUGGAGUGACAUCUCAGCUGUUCAGAUUGUGUACUGCGCUCUUCUAGAGGACAAGAUCUGGUGUCAACACUUGCUUCCUGGGUAGCUACCAAAUACCUGUAACCCCCAGCCCUGACCUCCAAGAACCCUGCACUCCUAGGGAAAUGUUCUAGCAGUCUGGGUCAGUCCCUGGCACAGAAGCCUGGCCCAUGUGUUUCUCAAUGCUCUGACAUGCUUCAUAUUUGUAUCCAGUUUGGAUUCCACGAAGGAGAGUCGUUCACUUAUUUAGCAUUGUUCCAUUAACUCUCUACCCGGUAUUUUCUAUUGGAAAAUCCCAGCCUAAGCCCUAGGUAGAAUUAGAAUAACAAAUCAGAUGGCUUUCUGCGAUCUCUUCGAGAUAUUGUCAGGGUAUGACUUGUGUGUACGUUUGUGUGUGAUGCAGAGGGGUAUUGGGAUUUCCUCUGUUUUGGUUUUAGUUGGCGAGCUUUAAUUUCAAUUCUUUGUUCUGGUUCUGAGUGAAAUGCUUCCGUUUUCAAGGCCCUUUCAGGCCAGGAAGUUUAUUUGUUUACCUUGGUAAAAACAAAUUGCGAGGAAAAAGGCUUACAUUUUUAUAUCACUGUUCAUCAUUGAAGGAAGUCAGAAUAGGAACUCACACGGGUCAAGAAGCUAGAGGCAAGAGCUGAUACAGAGGCCAUGGAGGGAUGCUGCUGACUGGCUUGCUCUUU
This 4082-nucleotide small RNA is filed under the name Rattus norvegicus (Norway rat). Its description in RNAcentral is "uncharacterized LOC102550662". Lineage: Eukaryota; Metazoa; Chordata; Mammalia; Rodentia; Muridae. The record is from RNAcentral.